RNAcentral lists this signal recognition particle RNA (96 nucleotides) under Alphaproteobacteria bacterium. Its description in RNAcentral is "signal recognition particle sRNA small type". It matches the Rfam family "Bacterial small signal recognition particle RNA". From Rfam's summary of the family: The signal recognition particle (SRP) is a universally conserved ribonucleoprotein involved in the co-translational targeting of proteins to membranes. Archaeal SRP consists of a 7S RNA and homologues of the eukaryotic SRP19 and SRP54 proteins. Lineage: Bacteria; Pseudomonadati; Pseudomonadota; Alphaproteobacteria. The record is from RNAcentral.
ACCGGCUGGCGGCGGGCGGGGCAGCCGCGAACCCGGUCAGGUCGGAAACGAAGCAGCCGUAGCGGAAUGCGCUCCGGGUCGUCGCCAGUCCUUCAG